RNAcentral lists this long non-coding RNA (1387 nucleotides) under Homo sapiens (human). Its description in RNAcentral is "HSALNT0208956". The record is from RNAcentral. Lineage: Eukaryota; Metazoa; Chordata; Mammalia; Primates; Hominidae.
UCUCGCUCUGUCGCCCAGGCUGGAGUGCAGUAUCGCGAUAUCGGUUCGCUGCAAGCUCCGCCUCCCGGGGUCACGUCAUUCUCCUGCCUCAGCUUCCGGAGCAGCUGGGACUGCUGGCGCCCGCCACUACGCUCGGCUAAUUUUUUUGUGUUUUUAGUAGAGACGGGCUUUCACCGUGUUGGCCUAGCGGUUCUCCAACUCCUGACCUCAUGAUCCCCCCGCCUCAGCCUCCCAAAGUGCUGGGAUUACAAGCGUGAGCCACCGCGACCCGCCAACACUCUUGACAACAGUGCUGUGCUAAGAACUUGGGGGACUUCAAAAAGUUCACCAGUUCCUGUGUCCAUGGGUGAAAAGAUUUUCUACAUCUUUCCUUGACUAGAAACAGAAGUCCUGAAACAAGAAUAUAACGUCAGGAGGCCAGAGGCUUUGUCCUGCCUAAUGUGUUAUUUCCACACUGAAUAAAAGCACCUGAGUCCUGCAUUUUAAAAAGGUUGUACAUCUAGCAAUACCUAACAAAAUAGGAAAUCAACUUGGGGAUUCUGCUUUUGCAUCUUCCUCGUUUUCUCUUGCCGCUGCCAAGUAAGAAGUGCCUUUCACCUCACACCAUGUUUCUGAGGCCUCCCCAGCCAUGUGGAACUGCAAGUCCAGUUAAACCUCUUUUUCUUCUCAGGGCUACCUUAAUGAGCAGCCAGGAUGCCAUCAUCUCCGACCUGAAUGACAAUAACCUCCAAACCAGCCUUUGUAUACUCCUUCCUGCUGCUCUGCAGUCCACUUCCACAGACCAGCCAACUGAAUCUCCUUAUAGAUUCAUAAUGGCCAUCAGCACAAAGAUGUUUUAUCUGCAGUCAACCAGUCAUGUUUCAUGAUGGCAUCAAAAUAUCUCAAGAUGAUCUUAUAACUACAUCUGAAAGGCUGUUGAGCCCCCAUCCUCAUCAGAGUUCAUCUCUUCCAAUGCAUGCACAUGUGCAGUCCAUCUGCCAGGCAUGAAGUAAAUAUAAAAUUGACCUUCUUCAGAAAAGAAGGAAGACCCAGGUGCUGGAAAAGGUCAGAGAAAAUCAUCAUCAUAAAGUGAAGUGAUUUUCUUCUUUAUGAGCUCCUGAUGUAAACAGACUGAUGAGCACAACACAAUCCUUACUCACCCACAUGACAUCAUACACAAUCACAGCUAAAUGUUUCUAUCUGUCAAAGCCUGAAGAGUGACUACCAGAUUGUUGCCUGAUUGAUUUGACAGUUUGGUCUACAUUUCAAGGCUGGUUAGAUGGGAGGUAUGUCCUGGUAUAUUAGUUAAUUUAGGUAUAUCUUACUGAUUUACAUUGCAUGAUUUAUCAGAUGCUAUUGACUCAUUCAAGUAAAUACAUUUAAAAAUUAUACCUUUUGCUCAUACUAG